UGGGGCCAGUGUCUUCUGCUUUGGCCAGGGCAGGUCUGGGUAGUCUCGAUGUUUCCCUUCUUAUACAGCAGAGUUUCCCAAUCUCUGCACCACUGACAUUUUGGGCGAGUGAUGGAGACAGAAAUUGCACCCAGAGUAUAUACAGAAAGAGCGAGAUGUGAGUGUAGUGACCCUAGGUUAUCCCAAAAGAACAGCAGCUCUGGGGAACAGAGACAUGUAGAGCAGGGUUUUGCAACCUCAGCACUAUUGACAUUUGGGGCCAGACACUUCUCUGUUGUGGGGGCCAUCCUGCGUACUGGAGGAUGUUUAGCAGCAUCCCUGGCCUCUACCCACUAGAUGCCCGUAAGACCCCCCACCCUCCACCGCAGUCAGACACUGCCAAAUAUCCAGGGAGAGAGGUCCCUCCUGGUCGAGAAUCAUUGUUCUUGAGUCUCUUCUGUUUAAAUUCCUCUAAUGGCUUCUCACUGCACAGAGGAUGGAUCCCAAACCCCUCACUGGUUGGCACAGUCCUGAGAUCUGGCCCCCGUCUGCUGAGCCCAUCUCCUUCUCUGUCCUGGGUGCCCACCAUGCCCCGGUCCUCCCAGCCUCCUGCAGUUCCUGAGCAGGCCAAGAUUGUCCCCUCUGUGGGGUCUCCACCCAACUGUUCCCUCUGCUUGCCAUGCUUUUCCCCUUGACCUUCCCUCUGCUGGUUCUUCCCAUCCUUCAGGUCUCAGCUUAAGGCUCGCUGGGGUCUGCCAGCCACCUCUACCCGCCCCGGAUCUCUCCUCGCCCUUCACUCACCGCCCCUCCCCAUGGUGAAAGUCUCUGCAUGCCACCUGAUAUCUUUCUAGGUUACUAUUGUCUAUCUCUUCCUCUGAAACAUAAGCUCUGGGACCACAGGGACCUUGUCUAUCUUGAUUAUCACUGUCCUCCCAGCAUCCAGAGGAGUGCCAGGCACAGAGUAGGUCCUCUCAGUGAGUAUUCACUGAAGGAACCAAUGCCCCUCUGCUCUGGCCUCCAGGCCUCAGCUCGAAGUCCCCACAGUGUGCCCACACAGCUAUGCCAGGAGUCCCCCUUGAUUCUCCGGUGGGUUGGUCAAAGAGCUGCUGCCUUUCCAAUGUCUGCUUGGCAGGCUGCUGUAGACGGCAAUUCAGGUUCUGCUCCAGGUUUUGCUCCGUGCAAAGGCAGUCUGUGGAGGUGGUGAAGGAUGAAAUCCAUUCUCUGCAGGGCCAGAUCUGCCAAGAGAGGGCAUCUUCUUCUAAUUCACACGAGGGGGCCACGGGGCUCGCAGUAUCCUUGCCACUCUGGCUGCCUGAUGGUGCCAGCUGCCCAGUCCCAGAGGAACUCCCCAUUGCAGGAGUGGUCCCUUCUGGUGCCCCAGGCCUGGCCAGGCACCUGUGGGAUCCAGCCUGGAUGGAAAAUGCCUGGAUCUUUGCUCUGGACCUGGGAAUCUGCUGGAGGUUGGACAGCACCUCCUCCCCAUGUCCUUGUCCUAUGAGACCUCCCUGCCUCCUCAGCUAUGCACGAGCAGAAGCAGCAGGCCCUGGGACUCUCUGCACCCCCUUCAACCCUACCUGCCAAGGCCAGCUCCAGCUUCCACAUCUCUUAGACUGUCAUCUAAGAAAGAACUGCCCAGCCAGCAGAGCCUGCAAAUCCUGGGAAGUGGCAGAGGGAGAGGCUAAGAGAGCAAAGCCAGCCCGGGGAAGGAGCCUCACCAGUGGCAGGCAGUGAGGAGCAGAGGGUGGAUGCAGGAUCUUGGAGCAAAUGGUCCUGGAGACCUUGCCUAAUAAGUGCCCUUGAGAGAUGCCCCCUCCAGCGUCCUCUUGGGGCAGUGGGGGCAGCUUCCAAAGACUGUUCAGGGCCCAUUCCACAGGCCUCUGACAUCCUGGCUAGGCUCUUGUCUCAGGCCAGUAGAGUCUGGAGGGCUGGAGAUCAGCCCCCACCCCUUUGAUAUAUGGGGAAACUGAGGCCCAGGGCUGUGAGAUUCCAAAUGGAGUGGUCUGGAGAGCAGGGGUCACUGAGAGGGCAGUAUUAGGAGGACGAGGUAGCAGGAGGGCAGCCAGGGCCUCUGAGCUACUCCCCCAGGCCUCUUGGCCACAGGGCUCCCCCAUCCCUACCCAACUCAACCUUUGUCUGAUUUGCUCCCUGUGACAGCUGGGGAGGCUGGGCCUCGCCCUGGCUCCUGCCAUCAGCCAUCUCUGUGUGGCACUAAAGAUGUGUGCGGGAGCCAGGCCUCGGCAGCAAGCUUGGCAGGCAGCUCGGCGUUGCCUGGGAGACCACAGAGGAGGAAAGCUGCUCCACACGGCUACCGAGGGCCAGAUGGCUCGUGGCUCCAGAGAUGCCUCUCCCAGGGGCCACAACCUCAUAUACACCUUGCAGGGGUGUCUCCCAGACACCCAUAAGGCAGAUGGGAAAACUGAGGUGCCAAGGAGUGGAAGGUCUGACUUGUUGACACACUGAGGGUCGGUGGCGAGGAACCAAGGACAGACGCAGAGGCCCUGCCUCCCAGCCCUGGGCUCUGCUGACCUCCUGGACCUGCAACUCAGGAACACACAGCCAGGGGGCGUGCUGGUCGCCAUGGCCAGGUCUCCCAACCCUGCCCCUCUGGAAAGACCUGAGGCUCUGUUAAAGGCCGCUACUAAACCUCGCUCUCUGGAGCAGCGGGAUGUGUAGCCACAGAGUCUGAGGAAAACUCCCAGCUCUGGAUGCAUGCACUGCAAGUGAAUAAGACAACACUGAGAGUUGGAAGCUGGGCUCUUGGCUGGGGUGCCAUCAAGGAGCCAGAACAGGGUGCUGAGAUUGGGUGGCUGUGCCUUGGAGUUGGGGAAGUCCACCGUCUUCCUUCCACACAAGAGGAAAUCGAAGUGUGUGUUGGGUGGGGGGAGAGUGUCAGUCGUUCAGAAAGGCUGCCUGGCCCGGUUCCCCUCCUCAAAGCUGGGAGAAGCAGGUAUGGGACCUCCCUCACACCUCCAGAGACCCACAGGGUUGGGGGGACCCACUAUCCUCAAGGUGGGUGUGGCUGUUUUGCUGAAGGUGAUUCUAAAAUAGCCGUUCCUCAGCUCGCCCGGCCGGCCGGCCGGCCGUGUUCAGUACGCAAGCCUUCCAGCCAAGUGCUUAGAAAUGCUGAGCAGGACAGCCCUGGGUGCUGACCCCGGAGGAGAAGAGGAGCUCACCUCUGGCCUGCCCUCGGGGACCCCCAAGGCUGAGCUGUUGGAAUCCAAUCAGCAGUCAGGAAGAUGGAGCUCUUUGGGCAGCUGGGAGGCCCCAGGCUGGAAUGCAGGAACCUGGGUUCAUGUCCCUGGCUUGGCCACAAACAGCCUUACGUAAGUCAUUCAUCCUUCUUGGGUCUCAGCGUACCUAUCUGUAGAACAGGCAGGUGGAAUAUGUCGUGCGGAGAUUGAAAUUGGUG
Equus caballus (horse) is the source of this 3388-nucleotide long non-coding RNA. The record is from Ensembl. Lineage: Eukaryota; Metazoa; Chordata; Mammalia; Perissodactyla; Equidae.